UACGAAGGGGGCUAGCGUUGCUCGGAAUUACUGGGCGUAAAGGGCGCGUAGGCGGCGCGAGUAGUCAGGCGUGAAAUUCCUGGGCUUAACCUGGGGACUGCGCUUGAUACGCUUGUGCUAGAGGACGGAAGAGGCUCGUGGAAUUCCCAGUGUAGAGGUGAAAUUCGUAGAUAUUGGGAAGAACACCGGUGGCGAAGGCGGCGAGCUGGUCCGUUACUGACGCUGAGGCGCGACAGCGUGGGGAGCAAACAGG
Molecule: ribosomal RNA, 253 nt
Filed under: uncultured bacterium
Lineage: Bacteria
Description: partial 16S ribosomal RNA
Rfam family: Bacterial small subunit ribosomal RNA
Source: RNAcentral